Camellia sinensis is the source of this 741-nucleotide non-coding RNA. Lineage: Eukaryota; Viridiplantae; Streptophyta; Magnoliopsida; Ericales; Theaceae. The record is from RefSeq and is a predicted model, not a curated record.
UUUUUCUUCUUCAUUGUCUUCAUUCAUCCUUAUCUAACUUCUCUCUACAUUCUCUCUCAUUUUUUUCCUUCACCUUCUUGGUGGCCAAACACCACACCCUUGCUCCACCCUUACACCACCACCUUAACCCACCAUCUCCACCACUGCCGGCCACCUUAUCUUGCCGGAAAAAGGGUCCGGUCGGCCACUCCUUAAAUCCAUCCGAAAAUAGCACAAUCGAAGCACCAACUCUAGACUUUUCUUAAUCUUUUGAAGAAUCAAGGCAUGGGGUUUAUUUUUUUGAUGGAUUAGAGGCUUGUAAUUGGUCCUAUUUAUUAAUUGUUAGGAUUGGAGGAAGGCGUCUCUACACCUCUUGGGAAUUAAUUUGUAGAGUCUCAAUCUACGCUUUUGCUAUUUUUGGAGAUUCAUAGACUUUUGUGUGGCUUGCCUCAACUUGGAAGACUAGAAUUUUUUUUGAAGGAUCAAAGGUGGGCAUCUUGUAGUUUAGGUUUUGCUUAGGGUCAUUCUAGGAUGUAAGUUUACUUUCUUUUUUUUUUUUUAAUGAAGGGGGUUGAUUGUAAAUAAUUGCUCAUGAAGUUGGAUGUAUUGAUGGAUUCGUGAAUAGUAUGUAUUAUUUUUGGGGAGGAAAUGCUUGGGAACUAUCUUAUAGCAUGAUAAUACUUUUUGUCUUUGAAUAGAUCAUCUCAUACAUGUUGGGCAAUUGAAAGGUCUUAUGCACUUUUGGUGAUGUGGUGAUGUGAU